GUCCAAUAACGGGUGAAACGAUAUGUCCAACAAAUAUCGUUAAGAUAUGCUCUAACCAUAGUUAUGAUACUAUGGUAGAAGUGGGUUUUAGGCAUAACUCAACUCCACAAAACCGGCUUGUAAGGUGAGGUUUGCACCUCACUUAUAUAUUAUAAAUUGACCUUAUCUCUAGUCGGACUUCCAACACAUCCCUUUCACACAGAGUUAUUUAGGUAUAGA
Molecule: long non-coding RNA, 219 nt
Filed under: Vigna radiata
Lineage: Eukaryota; Viridiplantae; Streptophyta; Magnoliopsida; Fabales; Fabaceae
Description: long non-coding RNA (VRAD_LNC007050)
Source: RNAcentral